Olea europaea var. sylvestris is the source of this 1011-nucleotide long non-coding RNA. RefSeq lists it as uncharacterized. The record is from RefSeq and is a predicted model, not a curated record. The transcript has 2 exons. NCBI's taxonomy places the organism in Eukaryota, Viridiplantae, Streptophyta, Magnoliopsida, Lamiales, Oleaceae.
GCAUGCAUCUUUAAUUUCUAACGGAGUAAAAAGUUUCGACAAUCACUGAACUUAGUAUAAUGCACGUUGUGGUCACUGAACUUCCGUUUGCUGCUCAACAGUCACUGAACUUACAAACACACCACCCCUCCAUCACCCACUGCCCCAGCCGUUUGAACCCGUCUCACGUGGCUUGACGGCAGGUUACGUGGCUGUCGACGGCGUCAAACUCGACCACGAUGGACACAAUUUCACAGCCAAAACAUGAUCCUUCACCAUUUCCAAAUCCACAAUCUCUCAUCCCUAAUUCGAACACCCAGCCCUAGAUCGAUUUUUUUCCAAAUCCUCCCCCAAAUCGAUUCUUUAACAUCUGGCAAAAUUGGUAGAUCUUUUUUGCCUUCACAGCAACACCGGACGCAGGUCAUUUCUUCAUCUUCACCCUCAUAGCAACACCAAACUGACGGUAGGUGAAGGUUUUCAAAAGAUGGAUCCUUCGGAUAGGGAGUUGGUGUUGGAAUAAUGUACAUGAUGUCAAGUGGAAAGGCUGAAAUCAGCAGGUUGAACUCGGCAAUAGAAAAGACUACAAAGGUUGUUCAAGAAUUAAAAGCUGAAAUAUCUAAAAGACAAGCCUCCUGUCAUUUGCACUAUUCAAUUUCUCAGAACGAAGCUUCAACAAAUAAAAUACACACUGAUGGAAGUUACGGUAGACAACUAUUGGCUAACAACAUGGAUAACAUCAAAGCUUUUACUCUAAUUGCCGAAGGUGAAGGUGUAAGUGUGGAUCUAACGGAAGACCUGCAGCUCGAGGCGUUAGAAAUAGAUCAAGCAUACAAGCUUGUUGUAUGUUGAUUGCCAUUUAUUUUAGUAGUCCACUUUGCCUGUAAUGAAGCUUUUAUAUAUGUUGAAAUGUUUCUAAUGAUCUUAUGGUGUCUUUGAAAGGAAAGAUUGUGUCAUCCAUUUGUGCACAUAGUGAUUUCAAAAUGUGGAAUUGUUUCUAAUGAUGUUAUAUAUUUAUUUUUGUGUUUUCGAGAA